AGCCCGCUCAGAACUCAAAGGAAUUGACGGGGCCCGCACAAGCGGUGGAGUAUGUGGUUUAAUUCGAUGCAACGCGAAGAACCUUACCUGGUCUUGACAUCCCGGAGACCCUUAGGAAACUAGGGGGUGCUUCCAUCUGGAAGAAUCUGGAGACAGGUGCUGCAUGGCUGUCGUCAGCUCGUGUCGUGAGAUGUUGGGUUAAGUCCCGCAACGAGCGCAACCCUUGCCUUUAGUUGCCAGCAGUUCGGCUGGGCACUCUAAAGGGACUGCCGGUGUUAAACCGGAGGAAGGUGGGGAUGACGUCAAAUCAGCACGGCCCUUACGUCCAGGGCUACACACGUGCUACAAUGGCCGAUACAAAGGGCAGCGACACUGCGAGGUGAAGCCAAUCCCGUAAAAUCGGUCUCAGUCCGGAUUGGAGUCUGCAACUCGACUCCAUGAAGUUGGAAUCGCUAGUAAUCGUGGAUCAGCAUGCCACGGUGAAUACGUUCCCGGGCCUU
Molecule: ribosomal RNA, 500 nt
Filed under: uncultured Desulfobulbus sp.
Lineage: Bacteria; Pseudomonadati; Thermodesulfobacteriota; Desulfobulbia; Desulfobulbales; Desulfobulbaceae
Description: bacterial SSU rRNA
Rfam family: Bacterial small subunit ribosomal RNA
Source: RNAcentral